GAUGAACGCUGGCGGCGUGCCUAAUACAUGCAAGUCGAGCGAACGGACGAGACGCUUGCUUCUCUGAUGUUAGCGGCGGACGGGUGAGUAACACGUGGAUAACCUACCUAUAAGACUGGGAUAACUUCGGGAAACCGGAGCUAAUACCGGAUGAUAUUUUGAACCGCAUGGUUCAAAAGUGAAAGACGGUCUUGCUGUCACUUAUAGAUGGAUCCGCGCUGCAUUAGCUAGUUGGUAAGGUAACGGCUUACCAAGGCAACGCUGCAUAGCCGACCUGAGAGGUGGAUCGGCCACACUGGAACUGAGACACGGUCCAGACUCCUACGGGAGGCAGCAGUGGGGAAUCUUCGGCAAUGGGCGAAAGCCUGACGGAGCAACGCCGCGUGAGUGAUGAAGGUCUUCGGAUCGUAAAACUCUGUUAUUAGGGAAGAACAUAUGUGGAAUUAAAUGUGGACAUCUUGACGGUACCUAAACAGAAAGCCACGGCUAACUACGUG
RNAcentral lists this ribosomal RNA (497 nucleotides) under uncultured bacterium. RNAcentral describes it as "partial 16S ribosomal RNA". It matches the Rfam family "Bacterial small subunit ribosomal RNA", at positions 28 to 507 of the family's 1533-position model. The record is from RNAcentral.